GGGGCUGUUACGGAUUCGACAGGGAUAGUUCGAGCUCGGAUGGCGCGUCGAGGGGUCGUCCUCGUCAACAACGCAAAAGCCAAUAAUAACUGGCAAAGAAAAACAAAACCUAGCUUUCGCUGCGUAAUAGUAGCUUAAGCUGAUCCUCCGUGCAUCGCCCAUGUGCUACGGUCAGGGUCUUACUCUAAGUGGGAUACGGUUAAAGGCUUCCGUUUGUAGUCUUUAAAAAGAGAUCAAUCAAACUAGCUGAAAGGAAGCCCGUUUCGAGGCCGAGAUUCAAGCGAAAUUCUAAUAUCGAGACUACACGCGUAGAAGUUCGAGUGCCGAUAUUUCUGGACGCGGGUUCGACUCCCGCCAGCUCCAUUU
Non-coding RNA from Listeria fleischmannii subsp. coloradonensis, 366 nucleotides. The record is from Rfam. NCBI's taxonomy places the organism in Bacteria, Bacillati, Bacillota, Bacilli, Caryophanales, Listeriaceae.